Molecule: long non-coding RNA, 3584 nt
Organism: Chelonoidis abingdonii (Abingdon island giant tortoise)
Lineage: Eukaryota; Metazoa; Chordata; Testudines; Testudinidae
Source: RefSeq, a predicted model, not a curated record
CAAGUGGCCCCCACGUGGGGCGGGGGAAGUUUUGCAAGGGGUGGAUUUGCUUAAAAAAAAAAACACACACUAGAGAGAGAGUUUCGAUUGAAAUUUCCCAGCAGUUUUUGUUCCUGUGCUGGGCAAUGGCAUGGGAUUUCCACAGAGCUCUGGGCGUGCAGCUGAGCUUGGCAAGCUGCUUUGUCCAGGGAAAAACAAACCUGGGCGAGAUCCCUUGCUGGAGAAUUCGGAGGGGCUAUUUUUAGAGGAAAGAAGUAUCCCAAGGGUUUGAAUUAAAAUGCAUGCCCUGGAAAUCCCCCAUCCCCACCCCCGCUUUCCCAGGGUGCCCCGGGCCAUCCUUCCCCGAGCUUGGUCUGCAGCUGUUCGGAGACAAAAAUCACAUCCAGGCGAGGAUGCAUUUUGCAACGGAAAAGUAGAGACGUUAUGCAAAGGGAGAAUCCUUAUUGUCUUCCACUCCGGAGCAAAUUCCGAGGUGCUGGAGUGGGGGGGUGGGGUCUAUAUUCCUAGGACUGAACUCUGGAGGUGCAAAAAGCAAACGUGUCUAGUGAAUUCCCUGCUCUGCAAGGGCACUUUGCCUCCCCUCUCCCCCAUUUGAGCAGGGCGAUACCCGUUCCACCUCGUAGGCAGAAAACGACGAGCACCCAGCUGUGUGUUGUGUAGGCGGAGGAGGGGAAAGGAUGAGUUAAUCAUGAGGUUUUCGAGCCAGUCAUGGUUUCUGCAGCUUGCAAAAACGUUGUGACUCGUUUCACAACAACCCCUGCAGCGUGCAUCAUGUUUCUUUGGCUGGGACCUUUCUAGGUUGUCCUCUGUUUUCCUCUUCUGCAAGGCGGCUCAGAACCCAGGUGCGGGGCCGUACAGACUUUAUCAGCGCCGCUUCUGAUGCACACGCCUGCUGGCUGCAGACAAGGCUCGCGCUCAACGCGGGCGCUGCUUGGGUGGCAAGAUUUAUUUCAGGCAGAGAAUGAACCAACCUUCAAAUCCCUCUCAAACCCGGAAACUCAAACAAGACACCGUGUACUUUCCCGAGCAGCGGAGCUGCCAGGGAACUUGCAGGGAACGCUGCUGGCCUUCGGCUUGAAUGCAUUUCCCAAAGCGAGCUCUGGGGGGGUUGCGAGGUUCGCGUAACAUUCCGCUCUGCAAAGCAGGUGGGAGGGCAAGCCUGGAGCCUGAACUUUUGCAGAGGAUCGUGGCACUUCGAAGUGACUUUCCUGAGCCAGGCUGCUGUUGUGCUAGGUGCUGGACAGACACAGAGUGCUGCUGUCUCCAAACGUCCCAAAAUCUGGAGUUGCCUCCCACCGCCUCCAAAUCACGAGAUUGACUUAAAAAAUCACAAGAUCCUUUUCAUUUGGCUCCUGGGCUGGGAGCCUGGAGGGGCCACGUGUUUGAGCUUUUCUCUGCCACCAGGUGGGCUGCAAAGCAUGUCACGCUAUGUCCCCGUCUCCGAGCACACAGGAUGCUGCACGGUACACCCUGCCAUUCAUAAAGCUGUCCCACGGCUGGGCCCAGAAGAAGUCAUGGACUGGAAAAACACUGGCACUUUGAAAAAGAACAGAGCUGAGGGGUUUUCCAGGUUCUCAGACUUAUUUGCUUCAAUUUUGACUUUGGUUUCCGAGGGAAAGGGAAUUUCUGAUUCAUAAGCUGCUGUCCUGGGUCAGACCCAUGCUCCAUCUGGCCCAGUCUCCUGUUUCCUAGAGCGGCCGGUACCAGAGCUUCCCGGGGAAUGCCCAGAACAGGGCAAUUCUGGAGCGAUCCUCCCCUGAGUUCCCCUCCUGAUUUCAGGCAGUCAGAGGUUUCGGGUCACCCCCGUUGGCUAGUGGCCAUCGGUGGAGCUCGUUUGAACCCUGUUUAUACUUUAACCAUCACAGUAUCCCACUGACAGUUUGUUCCAUGCAAACGGGAAAGGACAUCUCCGUUGUGGUGAGGGCAGGGAUCAAUUGUUCUCUCUGACCACCGAGAACAGGACAAGAAGUAAUUGGUUUAUUUUGCAGCAAGGGAGAUUUAGGUUAGAUAUUAGGAAAAUCUUUCUAGCUAGAAGGCUAGUUAAGCGUUAGGGAGGUUGUGGAAUCACCUUCAUUGGAGGAUUUUAAGCCCAGGUUGGACAAACACCGUCAGGGACAGUUUAGGUUUCCUUGGUCCUGCUUCAGCGCAGGUGGCUGGAUUUGAUGACAUCUUGAGGUCCCUUCCGGCCCUGGAUGUCUGUGAUUCUGUUCUGUAACAUGGAUACAAAUCAUUUCCCAGCUGGUUGCAAGGGCAGUUGGGGAAAUGGACCAAUCAGUGCAAACCACCAGCGUAGCAAUGUUGACACCCCCAGAGUGCUGGCGAAUUCCUCCCACUGUGGAGCCUGCCCAGGAUUUUUAAAAGCCGCAGCUGGUCUCUUGUGUUUUGCCAGAGCUGAUUGGGACCCGCAUAUCCAAGCGUCUCACCCAGAAGUCCAGCAGAACUGACGUCUCCCUCCCCUGGCUGUCGAUUGUGGAAUGGGCCAGUGCCCCUGGUGGCAUUUACAGCACAUGUCAAAGUUUCAGUAUUAGAGCUGGGUGGAGAGGCCCCGAUGGGGUCAGGGUCCCGGUGUGCCCAGCCCUACACAGAUCCAUGGUAAGAGACAGUUCCUGCCCUGAGGAGUUUGUGAUCUAUCUAAAUAGCCAAGACAGACGAAGCAUGGGAAGAAAGGAUGGAUUAUUAUCCUCAGUUCCAAGCAGGGAAGCUGAGACAAAGAGACUUGGCCAAAGUCACAUGGGCAGAACCAGGAAGAGAACCCAGCUAUCCUGGGUCCCAGCCUGGAGCCACAGCCAGAGCCGCCCUCUCUUGAUUCAGUUCAGCUUUGCUAAUAUUUGCACAAAGAACGAUCUGCCUGCAGCAGGGUGCUGGCCCGGUUCUAGUUCCCGAAAGUGUCCUUGUUUCUUCCAGAAAAGAAGGACUGGUUCCACACCUCGUCCAGACCCUGCUGAGCCGAACAACCAUUGUUCAGAGAGGAACUGAAAAUAUCAUUCACGGCUCACGUGGCAGCUUGGUAAAGGCCUGGAGGCUGAUCUCAGUUACCCCAGUGCAAAGCCGGAGUCACCCCCUGACCCCUCUGGAAGGAGUCAUUAGUGCAAUUGCAUUGUUAUGAAAUAUCCAUUAUCAGAAUCAUGAGCCAUUGUUUCCUGGUCUGUGGUUACUUCAGGCAGUCAGAAGUUUAUAAGCAGAAAUUGCUCAAGACCUCAACAUAAAAAUCUCACUUUGUGCCUGUGCUGCUCCUGGGUACAUUUGUAUCAACCCCUCACGGCAGCACCAAGCACUAAGUAUUCCAAUCUCAACUAAAAUUCCCACUGCAUUCAGUUCAAAUAAGCCUUCAAAAUGUACAUGGAUUCUCACCUUUACUCCAUGGCCGACAUCAUCCGGCACGGUAUAGUCAGUAGGUUUUCAAAUAUACCUUACAGGACACUCCAUGUUCGCCGGCACUAUAAUUUUAUGAGUUCUUGAUGUGUUCUUAUUGGUUCUCAAAUUACCUCUGUUUGUGAGCCACUUUCUCUUUAUGGAUGUCCACAGCCUUAACUUUUGCUGACUGUGGCCAGCCUCAGGGGGAGGGAUAGUUCAGUGGUUUGAGC